CUAAAAUCAAAACCAAAACCACCUAAUUGCCAACUGCCAUCGCCUCAACAUUGUGGUUGCUACCGACUCCCACAUUAUUGUAGGGUUUAGGGUUCUUAAAAUUUUCACUCUCCAUUUCUCUUCUUUACUAUGCUCCCAAGUAAAUUUAUGAUUUCAAAUUUAGGAAAAGGAAAAGGAAAUAUAAUUUUGUAUUGAGGAAUUCCUCAUUAAUGGCCACGAUUGAUUUGUUCUGCUAUCCUUCACCUUUUUUCAUUGAUAAACCUAGUCUCAAAGUUGAUUCCAAUCGUUGUUCAGUGGAAGGACAACUAAGAAGGAGUGAAAUUACGUAUAUGGCUUCCUUUGUGCUUGUAAAAAAGGAAAGUCAGUAGCAUUUGGACUCCCAAUCAAACCUUCUCGCCACUGCCACUUACACCACAACAAUGGCAAAGCCUAAAAAUCAAAUCUGAUUUCGAAAUCAUAUCCGUCCUUGGUGAAUCCCAGAAUUCUUUUUUCUCUUUCAUUUGUUUAAAUUAGGUGAAUUAGAAAUGGC
This 529-nucleotide long non-coding RNA is filed under the name Olea europaea subsp. europaea. The record is from RNAcentral. Lineage: Eukaryota; Viridiplantae; Streptophyta; Magnoliopsida; Lamiales; Oleaceae.